Long non-coding RNA from Gasterosteus aculeatus aculeatus (three-spined stickleback), 682 nucleotides. The record is from Ensembl. Lineage: Eukaryota; Metazoa; Chordata; Actinopteri; Perciformes; Gasterosteidae.
ACUGAGAAGUGUUAGAAGUGAGCUCCAGGAAAGUGAUCCACUUAUUUAUAGACUUUUAAUUAGAAUGGCCCUAUGGAGGUUUUAACAGUCCAAAUGACGAAAUCUCCCCCUCUUUCUGUGUCUCUCUCCUGCCAGCCUGCUGUCCCCACCCCCUGCAGCUCUGUUUCAGUCCUCGAUCCCUCACUGGCCCCCUCCUUUACCACACCCUGCUCUCAAGUUAUGAUGCACUUCAUGGGAAGCCUACUUCUGCCCUACAUUGCCACUGGGACUCCAUCACAGCUUUCCAAAUCGUACGUUGGGUGAAGCAUCAGCUGAACGUUUGUGGGCUAUCUGGAAUCUGGAGGAGCACGGACUCCUUCCUGGUCAAUGGGGUGGCAGAGGGCGAGGCAGAAGGUCAACUCUCUCAGAGGCAUCUCGGUGUCGAGGAACAAAAAAAUGCAGAGCUGAUUGACCCGGAUCUGCCUGAGGAUGAGAGUAAACAGAGGAACAGGGGUCGGCCUCGUGUUAUGAAGGAAACCUCUGGUCACGCUCCACUACUUUGCUCUGGAACUGUUUUUGAUUGGUUUAACGUAUACAUUCAAAUGCAUAUUUGACAGUGAAAGCGCCAUUGUAAUAUUAUAUUUUUAGGAGCGCUCGGGCUUCUUGUCAAUCUCAAGUUGAAAUUUUGGAUUUGUUGCGAGAG